Molecule: long non-coding RNA, 1354 nt
Organism: Bos taurus (domestic cattle)
Lineage: Eukaryota; Metazoa; Chordata; Mammalia; Artiodactyla; Bovidae
Source: Ensembl
GCUCAUGAAUAAAAGAUUAUUUUCUAGUAUCUCAUCUAAUGAGACUAUAAUAGAAGCUUUGCUGUUAAACAUAAUAUAUAGAAUUUUAUGGUUUCUUUGAAUAUAUGUUUUUAUCAAUAAUUUGGGAUCAUAAUUUAAUUGGGGUUUUUUUUGGAGUAUUUUUUUCCUUUUAAUUUGUUUAUUUAUUUUGGGCUACACUGGGUCUUUGUCGUUGUACUUGAGCUUUCUCUAAUUGUGGAGAGCAGGGGUUACUCUUUGUUGCAGUGAAGAGUCUUCUCUUUGCAGAGGCUUCUCUUGUGGAACAUGGCUCUAGGGCAUGCGGGCUUCAGUAACUGUGGCACAAGGGCUCAGUAGUUGUGGCUCAUGGGUUCUAGAGUACAGGCUCAGUAGUUGUGGCACACGGGCUUAGUUGCCCUGCAACAUGUGGCAUCUUCCAGGACAAGGGAUUGAAUCAGUGUCCCCUGCUUUGCAAGGUGGAUUCAACCACUGCACCACCAGGGAAGCACUUAACUGAUGAUUUAAUGAAUCAAUUCUUUUAGAAAAUUAUUUCAUUACAGUGUGUGAUUAUAUCUCAAUUAAAAAUUAUUCUAAAUUUCCAUCACUCAUCAAAAGUAUAUUUCACUUCCAUGAACUUCAAUUAUACUUUUAAAUAUAAUUUCAGAUAUGUAGAAAAGUUGCAAGAAAAGUUGCAGGAAUCAUAUGAAGAAUCUCCAGGAUAGUCUUCACUAUAAAAUAUUGCAUAUAUAUGGUAUAUUUCUUUAUUUCUAUUUAUAUAUACACUUUUUUUUCCUAAGACAUUUGAGAGUGAGUUGCAGGCAUGAUGCCCUUCUAACCUUAAUUCUUAACUGGAAAUAGUGUACCGCACCCAGCAACUCUAGAGUAAUCCAGUAUCGGUCUUUUCAGCAACACCCACUCAGGCAGAUAAUAAUCAUUGUUGAUAGCAUCAUUUUCAAAUUGUAGCAUCUUCUGACUUGAACAAUGGUAGAUAAAAAUCUAGCAAUAAGAAUAAUUAAUAUAGCUUUUUCCCUCAACAGAUAUUUACUAAAGAGUAUGUUGGUGCCCUAAUGAGUGAAAGAAUAAAACGUGUCUAUAUUUUGCUCAUUUGAAAAUUGCUGAGCUCAACUAAGAUUUCUCUUCCUCCUUCUCCAUUUCCCCCUAACACAGUGAAGCAUUUUCUUUCAGAGUGAGAAGAGAAUUGAAAAUAAAAUUGCAUUUGCUUAUGGAUGAAGGAGAAUCAAAGGAUCAAAUCAGACAUCUAAAAAGACUAAUUCUGAACUCUCUAAGGAUGUAGUUUUGCUUUCUGCAGUUUGAUUAUUGUGUCAGCUGUUUCUUUUUUGCUGAAGUUGGAGUGAAA